ACUAAGCAAUACUGCUCCUGCACAGAGGAAUGGAGGAGACAAUCCUAACAAUAGUCUGGAGCAAGACAUCAUCCAACUUGUUAGUAGAACUGCCUCACAAAUAGUCCCAGGAAAUGAUAUAAACAUGGCAGCAACUGGCUAUGGUGGCGGUGGUGGCUUUGGCUAUGGAAGAGGAGUCAUCGGAUAAUCAAUUGUUAUCUACCAAGAAGAAAGAUGAAUCAAGAAACAGCUUUAAGAUUAUUGAAUGGGUGUUCUAAAUGCUAUUUCAUAUUCUACUGCCAUCAUUGCAAGUUGGUGUCGGAAACCUGUGAAGGAAAACUUCAAGCAAGGCUGCAAGUGACUUCACCUGCUUACUGUUAUGAUGUUACUUUCUCUUUUAGCCAUUUACAUCCUGUGAAACUGAAUUAUAAGAUGCAAUAAAUGUACUGCUGAUAAUAGAAACAUAACAUUGACAAGUUUGGUUAGACAUUUUUGUUCAAAUAAGAGUCCUUGAAAUAUAGCAAUUCAUCUACGUUUUCUGUUCCAGAUACAUACUAUACACUGAUCUGAUUUGUAGAUUAUGAUUUAUGCAAAGAUUUGAAAACCUGUAUUGUGCUUGUCAUUAUCUGAAAUUAAAGCAAUGCAUAUA
Protopterus annectens (West African lungfish) is the source of this 628-nucleotide long non-coding RNA. RefSeq lists it as uncharacterized. The transcript has 4 exons. The record is from RefSeq and is a predicted model, not a curated record. Lineage: Eukaryota; Metazoa; Chordata; Ceratodontiformes; Protopteridae.